Long non-coding RNA from Coregonus clupeaformis (lake whitefish), 294 nucleotides. RefSeq lists it as uncharacterized. NCBI's taxonomy places the organism in Eukaryota, Metazoa, Chordata, Actinopteri, Salmoniformes, Salmonidae. The record is from RefSeq and is a predicted model, not a curated record. The transcript is spliced from 4 exons.
AUGUUGAAUCUGACGAGGAACCAGCGAAGAGGGCGGUGACUAAACCAAUCAGAUUCCGUGUAGAGCCACCUGAUGAUGAUGGAAGUGAAGCACUCCAGAAAAAGACAAAUGAACCCAGACAAGCCCAGCGUACAGUGCCACAGCUUCCACCAGCCCCUAGUGUAACUUCAAGAGCCAGUGUCUUUGAAAAGACCCUACAACAAGUUGCAGAUGCAGAGGACUUGAGGCCAUGUGCCACCUCAAGCCAGAGCGACAGUAAGUGUCUGGUUGUAGUUUUAGGGUAAACAAUUAGUU